RNAcentral lists this ribosomal RNA (424 nucleotides) under Verrucomicrobiota bacterium. Its description in RNAcentral is "Verrucomicrobia bacterium partial 16S ribosomal RNA". It matches the Rfam family "Bacterial small subunit ribosomal RNA", at positions 355 to 776 of the family's 1533-position model. The record is from RNAcentral. Lineage: Bacteria; Pseudomonadati; Verrucomicrobiota.
UGAGGAAUAUUGGUCAAUGGACGCAGGUCUGAACCAGCCAAGUAGCGUGCAGGAUGACGGCCCUAUGGGUUGUAAACUGCUUUUAUAUGGGGAUAAAGUGGGGAACGUGUUCCCUUUUGCAGGUACCAUAUGAAUAAGGACCGGCUAAUUCCGUGCCAGCAGCCGCGGUAAUACGGAAGGUUCGGGCGUUAUCCGGAUUUAUUGGGUUUAAAGGGAGCGUAGGCCGUUUGGUAAGCGUGUUGUGAAAUGUAGGAGCUCAACUUCUAGAUUGCAGCGCGAACUGUCAGACUUGAGUGCGCACAACGUAGGCGGAAUUCAUGGUGUAGCGGUGAAAUGCUUAGAUAUCAUGAAGAACUCCGAUUGCGAAGGCAGCUUACGGGAGCGCAACUGACGCUGAAGCUCGAAGGUGCGGGUAUCGAACAGG